UCUAAAACUCAAAGGAAUUGAGGGGGGCCCGCACAAGCGGUGGAGCAUGUGGUUUAAUUCGACGCAACGCGCAGAACCUUACCAGCCCUUGACAUCCCGGUCGCGGUUUCCAGAGAUGGAUUCCUUCAGUUCGGCUGGACCGGAGACAGGUGCUGCAUGGCUGUCGUCGGCUCGUGUCGUGAGAUGUUGGGUUAAGUCCCGCAACGAGCGCAACCCUCGCCCUUAGUUGCCAUCAUUCAGUUGGGCACUCUAAGGGGACUGCCGGUGAUAAGCCGAGAGGAAGGUGGGGAUGACGUCAAGUCCUCAUGGCCCUUACGGGCUGGGCUACACACGUGCUACAAUGGCGGUGACAAUGGGAUGCAAAGGCGCGAGCCCUAGCAAAUCUCAAAAAA
This 392-nucleotide ribosomal RNA is filed under the name uncultured Nitrobacter sp. RNAcentral describes it as "bacterial SSU rRNA". It matches the Rfam family "Bacterial small subunit ribosomal RNA", at positions 893 to 1281 of the family's 1533-position model. The record is from RNAcentral. Lineage: Bacteria; Pseudomonadati; Pseudomonadota; Alphaproteobacteria; Hyphomicrobiales; Nitrobacteraceae.